CUACCAUGUGUGCGACAAUAUUAUAGAUAAUUAAGGAUCUUAAUGUGACUGUCUCGAAUGAAAGAGGAUGAACGAAAUGGGGGGUUAAGAGACUAAGAUACAACGACAUGAUUUGAAUUAGUAUGCUAGGAGGGAGACUUUUGUCCGCUAACGGUUCGUGUUGUUACAAUACCCUUGAUGUUGAUUCUAGUACCAAGACGAUUAGCCUUUAUCUUUUUGAAUUUGGAACCACGUGUAUUUACUUGUGAUGCUAUUUUCCUAAGUCUGUGUGUGAAAGUUGCUGCAUUAUACUGUUUUUUAUAUGCAAGCUAAGUUGCUUGAGGACAAGCAACGGUUCAAGUGUAGGGGAGUUUGAUAACACGUAAAAUGCACUAUUAUUUUGACUCAUCUUACACAUUUUUUGAUUUUGAUUUUAUAAAUUUUUGCAAUGUUAUGUUGGUAGUGUGUGUCUAUUUCAGGUAUUUAUCGGUUAAAGGUCUCCGCGCGUCAAAAUGAUGAAAUUCGGCGAAAAAAGGAAAGAAAGGGUAAAAAUGGAAAAGAAGGUUAAAAAGUCAGAAGUCAGUGGGAAGUAAAAGCCUGACCUAUUCUUUCCCCACGUUUCAGAAGCAGUUUGCCCACUUUCUUCAUUUUCUCCACUACUUGAGACAUGAUCAGAAGCACUUCAGAGCAGAUUUUUCCCUAUAAAUAGACCUGAAGAACUCAGUUGAAGACACCAAGCUUUUUAGAGAGAAACUGUGUUAUUUAGAAACUGCUUAUCGUAAUUUAAGCUUUUGUUUAGCUAUCGUACAAUUUUACAAUUUCAGAACCUUUGUUAAUUGCAAUUUUGAAUUAAGUAACUAUUUCAAUUGCUAGUUCCUGUUUUCAUCAUUCCUUUUUCAUUCCAACUUAGUUUUUCUUGCCAUAUUUUCCAAUUGCCGUGUUGCUACCUACCUUGCUAUAACUCAAGCCGUGAGUCUAUAUUGUUGGGUGGCUAUUUAAUUGAAUUUCCAUUGCUAAGAAUUCAAUAGUGCCGUGUGUAUUUCUUCAAAUUCCUGGCUGCACCGUCCGUUCAUUUCACUUUCAAUUGGAGAAUUGGAGUUUCAUUCAAUUCCAAUUGCUUGUAAUUGUUGUGCUU
RNAcentral lists this long non-coding RNA (1114 nucleotides) under Medicago truncatula (barrel medic). Its description in RNAcentral is "long non-coding RNA (MTRU_LNC004982)". Lineage: Eukaryota; Viridiplantae; Streptophyta; Magnoliopsida; Fabales; Fabaceae. The record is from RNAcentral.